UACAGAGGUCUCAAGCGUUGUUCGGAAUCACUGGGCGUAAAGGGUGCGUAGGCCGCACGGUAAGUCAGAGGUGAAAUCCCGGAGCUUAACUCCGAAACUGCAUUCGAUACUGCCGUGCUUGAGGACUGGAGAGGAGACUGGAAUUUACGGUGUAGCGGUGAAAUGCGUAGAUAUCGUAAGGAAGACCAGUGGCGAAGGCGGGUCUCUGGACAGUUCCUGACGCUGAGGCACGAAGGUCAGGGGAGCAAACGGG
This 253-nucleotide ribosomal RNA is filed under the name uncultured bacterium. Its description in RNAcentral is "partial 16S ribosomal RNA". It matches the Rfam family "Bacterial small subunit ribosomal RNA", at positions 524 to 776 of the family's 1533-position model. The record is from RNAcentral.